GGCGCCGUGGCCAAGUGGUAAGGCUGAGGUCUGCAAAACCUUUACCCCCGGUCCGAAUCCGGGCGGUGCCUCCA
This 74-nucleotide transfer RNA is filed under the name Oscillospiraceae bacterium. RNAcentral describes it as "tRNA-Cys". It matches the Rfam family "tRNA". Rfam says of the family: Transfer RNA (tRNA) molecules are approximately 80 nucleotides in length. Their secondary structure includes four short double-helical elements and three loops (D, anti-codon, and T loops). Further hydrogen bonds mediate the characteristic L-shaped molecular structure. tRNAs have two regions of fundamental functional importance: the anti-codon, which is responsible for specific mRNA codon recognition, and the 3' end, to which the tRNAs corresponding amino acid is attached (by aminoacyl-tRNA synthetases). tRNAs cope with the degeneracy of the genetic code in two manners: having more than one tRNA (with a specific anti-codon) for a particular amino acid; and 'wobble' base-pairing, i.e. permitting non-standard base-pairing at the 3rd anti-codon position. Lineage: Bacteria; Bacillati; Bacillota; Clostridia; Eubacteriales; Oscillospiraceae. The record is from RNAcentral.